GGCCAAGAUAACCCAGAAAGUAUCCCGGUUCCAGGAGGCCUGCCUCAGCCAGGGCGCAGGCUGUCAGCGAGAUUUCCCGGGUGUGCUCCAGAUUGGAGACAGGCCUGACUAACCCCGAAUCCGGGAUUAGAUAGCAGGGCCUGGGUGAGCGGUGGCAAGGUCGCUAGGCUCCUCCGGCAGCAGAGCCUCCCCAAGCAGGGUAGCCAUACAGGCCGCCCUGUCGCAGGCCUGGGGCGGCACGAAGCGGAGGAUCAGUGUGCAAUGGCCUUGGGAAGUCUCCGACGCUUAAACUGUCUGAAUAAUUUGCAUGGAGCGGCUAUUCAUUAUUUCCGAUGAUUUUCCUUCGCAAGCAGCUCGGACGUGGCCGGCUGUGGUUCAACGCGAUCGGAGAGCUCGUAUUUUCAUCUGUAAAUUAAAGCAAUUACGCAGCAGAUAUCUUAUGAUGCGUACUGUGGUCUCCAGAUAGUCAUCAAUCACCUUCAACCGAGCUGUCAGAGCGGGCAGAUUUCGUUUCUGGGAGGCAGGUUUGCAGCUGGGGAGAGGGCGAGAACGUCAUCAUUAAUUAGAGGGUGACCCUGGGGCGAUUCACAGGUCUGAACCCAGGAAUCUUUCCGAGCAAGUCUGCACAGCGCCGCCGCGCACAGUUCCCCUCCCGGCCGCGCGGGAGGCCGAGCGGGGCGAGCGUGCGGCAGGGGCGAGCCCGGGUCCCCGCAGGGCGGCGGCACAAAAGGCGGAGAGCGAGUUCGGGGUGCCCAGGCGCCCCUCCGCCGCCUGCGCGCUCGCCUCCGUUGGGGAUUCGGGCAAGGUCCCAGGACCCGGCCUGAAUGGGGAAGUCCCGGGGUGGGCACUCGGCCGUCUCCCCAGACUGCUCCGUGCGCCCCGGGCGCUGAGCUCUGCGACACGGGCGGGGAAGGGCGUCCCGGCGCUCCGUCCCCGGCACCUAACCCUGAGGCUCGCCCGGAGCAGCCAGCGGAGCGGGAGGGGCCCCGGAGCGGAGGCGGGAAACCUCUCCCGAGCGCGCGGGGACGUCUGGCAGUCCCGGGUUUAGCCGCGAGGGGCAGGGGAGGCUGAGGGCGGGCGGCCCGCGGAAGGGGGUGGAAGAGGAAAGGGAGGGUCGCUCGCCGCGCAGGAACGCGCGGGACCGGAGGUGGGACGGAGGAGGGGGCGUUCCCCGGGGACGCGGUGGCGGAGAGUCGCCAAGCCCCGCCGCACUUGGGCCACCGAGCCCCGGAGUGGAUGGCUCCGGGAAGGGCCUCGGGACCCACACACCCGAGGGCCUCCUGACCUCCGGACGCGGACGCUUGCAGCCGCUUUGGGUUCUGGAGCUCCGGCCCGGAGCUGGGUUCGAACCGGCGGGCGGCGGCGCGGCCACCGAGCUAAACAAUAGUGCGAGCGGCGCGCCGGCCGCGGAGCUGCCUCCCGGCCCCCGGGGGGCCGGGCGGGGGCCGGGCGGAGGCCGGGCGGUGGCCGCCUGCGCAGCACAGCGCCGGGCUAAUUUUAACUGUUGAUUACAUCUUCACGGAGACUCGCUCGUGUGUCCCUUCACAUGUCUCAUUUGUAAUUGAGACUAAUGAUUACAGUGGGGCGGGAAGGAGCAGGUGCUCAUUAAUUAAUCUCUAAUUAAAAGUGCUUCCCGUUCUCGGUGACUAAGGAGAAGCGGCCUUCGCCGGGGCGGUGGUGACUCCACGGAUGGGGUUCNCUGCGGCCCGGCCCGGUGCGCCGCGUGGGCUGACGUCAGCGCCCCCGCCGCUUGAGGCCACGCACAUCUGACUUGACGG
Molecule: long non-coding RNA, 1778 nt
Organism: Vulpes vulpes (red fox)
Lineage: Eukaryota; Metazoa; Chordata; Mammalia; Carnivora; Canidae
Source: Ensembl